GGAUAGCUCAGUGGUUAGAGCAUGGAUACCUGCGGGUUCGAAUCCCGCUCC
Molecule: transfer RNA, 51 nt
Filed under: Flavihumibacter petaseus NBRC 106054
Lineage: Bacteria; Pseudomonadati; Bacteroidota; Chitinophagia; Chitinophagales; Chitinophagaceae
Rfam family: tRNA
About the family: Transfer RNA (tRNA) molecules are approximately 80 nucleotides in length. Their secondary structure includes four short double-helical elements and three loops (D, anti-codon, and T loops).
Source: Rfam by way of RNAcentral